Molecule: ribosomal RNA, 131 nt
Filed under: Cladocopium sp. C1
Lineage: Eukaryota; Dinophyceae; Suessiales; Symbiodiniaceae
Description: partial 23S ribosomal RNA
Source: RNAcentral
AUUCGAUAGCUGUCUUGCACACACAUCAUGGUAAAAUAUUCAUCAGUACGAAUAAUAUGCUGACUAACACUAAAGGACAAAAAGACCCUCUGAAGCUUUAUAGGGAUAAAACUUGGGUAACAUUCAUACAA